UCUUCCGAGUCCUUCCUCCAGGGUAGUUGGGGCAGCUGGAGAAGUGAAAAGACUGCAUUAGUGAACAAAAUAGACGAGGAGCUUCAUUAACUUCUAGUAGUAAAUACAGUUUUCAUCUUUCCCUUCAUCUUGACAGUGUGGAAGAGGGUUUUGCUUUCACGGGUCUAAUUUGAUUGCUGAGUGAGGUGUUUUACUUCCAUGUAGUGAUCAGAUUGAUGAAAAUGAUAAUGUGCUGUGUUCCCCAAAUGAUAGCAUCUUUACUUCACAUUCACUGGCCUGAUGAAAGGCAUGCAGAUCUCUGGGUGAACAGAAGUGUGUUUUUAUGAGUUAGUAAAAUAUAUCUAAUGGUCCAUUGUGGAAUGGGGAAAAGAGAAGGGGUCAUCAGUAGAGAAAGAAAUGCUUUGAGAAAGAAAUGUUCAUUCCAGUAGAUCUGUUCCUUCAACCUUAAAUGACAAAUGACCUGGCCAUAUUACUUUCUGAAAUAAUUCUCAGUGGGGCAUGUUCUACUCCCCUGCCUGAUGGGGAACAGCAUUUGGAAAAACCCCAAAAAAGAGCAGGUUUCAUAAAACCCUCACAACAACAGUUCUCACAACAACCUCAGAGAUGGGUCUAAGACAGCAGUUGCCAACCGGUGUGCCGGGACCAGUGGUGGUCCAUGAGGCCCGGAAGGUUGGCGACCGCUGGUCUAAGAGGUGGCCAGGCAAAUAGUGAACAUGAUUCAUCACAGAAAAUGCCCCAAAUCAGGAAACCAUGCCCUCUAAGGCUGUUUGUAAGAUUGUUUCGAAGGAGUUACCGAUUGAGGAAAAAGAGGAGACCACCAGGUGAUGGUCCUAGUGAGUGCUCGUCUGUGGUGGACACUUGCUUGGUGCUUUGUAGAUGGAACCAUUCAAGGAAGUGUGGUUAGUAUCCCUCCUUUUCAUUCAGAUAGACCCCAGCUCUGUGGUUAGGGCACUAGGAAAUGGCAGAGCCAGGAGGAAGCUAUGAGCUGUCUCUUGUCUCUUCAUUAGCAACAUAAAGAGCAUUGACAGCCCUGGCAGGUGGGCUCAGCUGGUUGGAGCAUCAUCCCCUGCACCUAAAGGUUGCGGGUUCCAGCCCCUGUGUGAGUGUAUGGAAGACAACCAAUCAUUUAUUCUCUCAUACACCGAUGUUUCUCGCCCCACCUCCUUCCCCUCUCACUAACAUCAGUAAAUCAUAUCCUGGGGUGAGGAUUUUAAAAAUGUAAAGAGCUUUGAUAGUGUAGAGACUAGCCUGAGGGACAUUUCACCUUGUAGUUAGUAAUAUAGUAGCUCUAAUCCUGGUUUUCAGAGUCACAACAGCCACAAUCUGGUCAGCGAUCUGCAUACCCUCUAACAAGCAAAUUCUCAUGCAUAUCAAGGAUUUUCUAUCUGAGUGUUACUUGCAUUGAUACCCUUUACAGCAAACUCUGGGAAAUUAGGCUGUCUAGGCGGCUGUUUAACCCAUCCUUCACUCCCUAGUUUGGUAACUCAUCUCUCAUAU
Molecule: long non-coding RNA, 1497 nt
Organism: Myotis daubentonii (Daubenton's bat)
Lineage: Eukaryota; Metazoa; Chordata; Mammalia; Chiroptera; Vespertilionidae
Exons: 3
Source: RefSeq, a predicted model, not a curated record